Molecule: ribosomal RNA, 855 nt
Filed under: uncultured Bacillota bacterium
Lineage: Bacteria; Bacillati; Bacillota
Description: bacterial SSU rRNA
Rfam family: Bacterial small subunit ribosomal RNA
Source: RNAcentral
AUUACUGGGUGUAAAGGGAGCGCAGGCGGGAAGACAAGUUGGAAGUGAAAUCUAUGGGCUCAACCCAUAAACUGCUUUCAAAACUGUUUUUCUUGAGUAGUGCAGAGGUAGGCGGAAUUCCCGGUGUAGCGGUGGAAUGCGUAGAUAUCGGGAGGAACACCAGUGGCGAAGGCGGCCUACUGGGCACCAACUGACGCUGAGGCUCGAAAGUGUGGGUAGCAAACAGGAUUAGAUACCCUGGUAGUCCACACCGUAAACGAUGAUUACUAGGUGUUGGAGGAUUGACCCCUUCAGUGCCGCAGUUAACACAAUAAGUAAUCCACCUGGGGAGUACGACCGCAAGGUUGAAACUCAAAGGAAUUGACGGGGGCCCGCACAAGCAGUGGAGUAUGUGGUUUAAUUCGACGCAACGCGAAGAACCUUACCAAGUCUUGACAUCCUGCGACGUGCAUAGAAAUAUGUAUUUCCUUCGGGACGCAGAGACAGGUGGUGCAUGGUUGUCGUCAGCUCGUGUCGUGAGAUGUUGGGUUAAGUCCCGCAACGAGCGCAACCCUUACUGUCAGUUACUACGCAAGAGGACUCUGGCAGGACUGCCGUUGACAAAACGGAGGAAGGUGGGGAUGACGUCAAAUCAUCAUGCCCUUUAUGACUUGGGCUACACACGUACUACAAUGGCGUUAAACAAAGAGAAGCAAGACCGCGAGGUGGAGCAAAACUCAGAAACAACGUCCCAGUUCGGACUGCAGGCUGCAACUCGCCUGCACGAAGUCGGAAUUGCUAGUAAUCGUGGAUCAGCAUGCCACGGUGAAUACGUUCCCGGGCCUUGUACACACCGCCCGUCACACCAUGAGAGCC